GACUUCCUACGGGACGCAGCAGUGAGGAAUAUUGGUCAAUGGGCGCGAGCCUGAACCAGCCAAGUCGCGUGAGGGAGGACCGCCCUAUGGGUUGUAAACCUCUUUUGUCAGGGAGCAACGCCGGCUACGUGUAGCCGGACUGAGAGUACCUGAAGAAAAAGCAUCGGCUAACUCCGUGCCAGCAGCCGCGGUAAUACGGAGGAUGCGAGCGUUAUCCGGAUUUAUUGGGUUUAAAGGGUGCGUAGGCGGAAUGCCAAGUCAGCGGUAAAAUCGCGAGGC
RNAcentral lists this ribosomal RNA (279 nucleotides) under uncultured bacterium. RNAcentral describes it as "partial 16S ribosomal RNA". It matches the Rfam family "Bacterial small subunit ribosomal RNA", at positions 333 to 608 of the family's 1533-position model. The record is from RNAcentral.